UGGCUCAGGAUGAACGCUGGCGGCGUGCCUAACACAUGCAAGUCGAACGGAGUUAUGACGCUGACGAGACUCGGUCAAAUCUUGUUGUAACUUAGUGGCGGACGGGUGAGUAACGCGUGGAUAACCUGCCAUAUACAGGGGGAUAACAGUUAGAAAUGACUGCUAAUACCGCAUAAGCGCACGGUCCCGCAUGGGACAGUGUGAAAAAACUCCGGUGGUAUAUGAUGGAUCCGCGUCUGAUUAGCCAGUUGGCGGGGUAACGGCCCACCAAAGCGACGAUCAGUAGCCGGCCUGAGAGGGUGAACGGCCACAUUGGGACUGAGACACGGCCCAAACUCCUACGGGAGGCAGCAGUGGGGGAUAUUGCACAAUGGGGGAAACCCUGAUGCAGCGACGCCGCGUGAGUGAAGAAGUAUUUCGGUAUGUAAAGCUCUAUCAGCAGGGAAGAUAAUGACGGUACCUGACUAAGAAGCACCGGCUAAAUACGUGCCAGCCGCCGC
Molecule: ribosomal RNA, 500 nt
Filed under: uncultured bacterium
Lineage: Bacteria
Description: bacterial SSU rRNA
Rfam family: Bacterial small subunit ribosomal RNA
Source: RNAcentral